This 2647-nucleotide long non-coding RNA is filed under the name Gossypium barbadense (sea-island cotton). RNAcentral describes it as "long non-coding RNA (GBAR_LNC014592)". Lineage: Eukaryota; Viridiplantae; Streptophyta; Magnoliopsida; Malvales; Malvaceae. The record is from RNAcentral.
GCAACCUUCAGAGACAAACAAUCUGUCAUGCUGAAUUCACUCAAAAAAUGUCCUACAUGCUACAACUAGUCCCCAGGCUGUUGGGUAUGCUGUGCAGCAAUCAAAUAGUUCCACGGGGGAGAAAGACAAUACUAAACCUGACAGCUGACGAAAUUUCCGGUAUGUGUUGCUAUAUAUGGAUAACCUUAGAGAUUAACCUGUUUCCGUUCCACAUUUUUCUUGGCAUGUAAAUUCAUGUUGUUUGCAUAUAUUGACUAUUCAUUAUUAUGUAUAAUGUGUUGAAGGACAGAUUUGAUAGCAUAAGCCAUUAAGCUCAAGUCACUUUGUUUGUUUUGUUUUUGUCGAAACCACUUUUUUUGAAAAUAAAAAAUUUUAGGUUGUCGACUUUUAAAAAAAAUGAAAAUUGAGAGUCGCCACCAAUCUUUAUUAAGAUGUGAUUGAAUCACCUAAAACGACUUUGGUCUACGAGUUUUUUAGAAAAACGUGUUCGGGAGUCAGUUACAUUCGAGGAAGGAUUAGCACCCUCGUAACACCCAAAAAUUGGUACCAAAUUGAUUAAUCAAUGUCUUGAAGUCGAGAGUAAAAAUGCGAUCCUUAAUUAAAUAAAAUUAUUUAUUAAACUUCUCAUUUUGAAAUAAGAAAGAUAUCACACCCAAUACGUUAGGACACAACAUUUUACUCUUUUCAUAAUGAGUUAGUCAAAAACUCGUAUAAUAAAAUUUAAGAAAAUAUCUAAUUGUUUAAAAUUUAUGAAGAAAUCACGGCCCAAUACGUUAGGGCACAAUUUCUUAAAAUCCAAACAUUUAAUAUUUCCUUUAUUUUUUAAGAAAAAUCUUUAUCUCGAGAAAUCAGCGUGUCACAUCCAAUACGUUAGGACACAACAUAUUGAAUUCUCGAUGAUAAGUUUUAUUUUGUUUAGUUUAAAGAGCAAUCCUCAAUUGUUAGAUUUUACAAAAAAAUCGGAACCCAAUAGUUAGGGCUCAAUUUUCUUGAAAAAAUCCUAAAUACGAGUAUUAUCUUUAUUUUGAAAAAUUCCAUUUUUAAAUUCGAAUAAAAAAUGCCGUAAUGUUAUGUUGAAUGUAUGAAUAGAUGCCCCUUAAACAAAUAUCAAUAAUAAAUACAACAAUUACAUAGAAAUAAUAUGAAUAAAUAAAGAUAAUGACAUGCAAAAUAUCAAAUAAAUGGGCAAGAUAAUAAUAAAAAAUAUGCAAACAUAAAUUGAUAAACAAAUGAUUGAAAUAAACAAAAAAGAUGUAUACAUGUACACAUAAAAAUAUAUAGGUUUGAAAUAAUUAAAUAAUAUCUACAUUAUCAAAACUAAUUAAAUAAAUAAAAUAUGUGUAUAUAUAAAUAUGCUAAAAAUAUUAGUUUUUUAAAAAAGGAUAUAAAUACGUACAUAAAAAUAACUAUACAUAUAUAUAUAGAUAAAAUAAUAAUAAUUACAUAUAAAAAUAAAAAAAUAAUUACAUUAUCAAAAUUAACUAAUUUUAAGAAAAAUAUAAAAAAAAACUAAAUUGAACUGCAAGUAAAAACAUCUAAGGUAAAUCCGAAAAUAAAUAAAGUCUGGAGGACUAAAUUGAACGCGCGAAUUACAUAAAGGGGCUGGAAGAGAAAUUUUCUCUUCUCCUCUAAAACGGCGCCGUUCAAAAGGGUUAAAUUGAAAGUUAAAAUAAAUUAAAGGGCGAAUUUAAAAGAUAAAAAACUAAUUGUAAGUAUAUUAAAAGGCGGAGGGGCCAAAAGCAUAAUUUGCCCCUCCGCAUGAAAAACACGCGGAUCCUAUGUCCGGGUUGGGUCGACGCUCGGAUCCCCCUCCUUCAAACGGUGCCGUUUUCAAUUGGCUAUUUAAGCCAAAAUUAUUAAAAAAUUUCAUUUCUCAUUCCUUCAAAAAAAAAAUAGAAAAUCCUUCAAAAUCCGGUCAUUGGCCACCGCGCCGGCUGCCGAUCUCUGGCGACGCCGCCGCCGUAUGCGGUGGCCAGAAAAGGGGAAAAUCCCCUACUCGGCCUUUCAGACCCCCUUAUGCUCAAAUCUGGGUUCAAAUCCUUCAAAUUAUCAACAAAAAGCCUCGAAGAAUCAUGAAACCUUUUGGUUUCUGGCCACCGAUCCUCGGGGGUGGCUCCCUCGGCCGUUUCACUGAGAUCUGGGCACCUUCAAAAGGUUACCUCUUUCCUUUUUAUUUGUUUUUAUUCGUAUAAAAGUAAAUAAAACAAUAUAUAAAAAAAAACUGUAGAUACCAACCUUUGAAUCGAUUGUAUUGCUCUUGGUAUUGAGUUUGCUGUUUUCGGUUGUGGAAAUAGUUGUUUUUUAUUGCUUUCGAAUUCGGGAUCCCCUUACAGUGUUCGAUGGCCCUUUUUUAUAGCCGAUAAUAUCAAAAAAUAAAGAAACAAAUCAUAUUCCAUAUCUUCUUGAUCUGUAAUCUUUGAUUCUUAUUUCAUUUUGUGUGCAGAUGAAUAUCCGGGUGGAGAUUCGGCCUGCGUGGAAGAUUGGAGUUGCGGCGGCCGAAGCUUAGAAACCCUAGGGUUUUUCAUCUGUUUUGGGCCAUUGUAAUUUGGGGCACUGCUUUGUUUUGGUUUGGGCCUUGUGGCCUGUUUGUAAUCGGACUCUAUGGACUGUUUUCAUUUAUUUGUUUAUCUGGUACGGGCCGAGUACA